This 1058-nucleotide ribosomal RNA is filed under the name uncultured soil eukaryote. RNAcentral's name for it is "partial small subunit ribosomal RNA". It matches the Rfam family "Eukaryotic small subunit ribosomal RNA", at positions 141 to 1114 of the family's 1831-position model. The record is from RNAcentral.
GGAUAACCGUAGUAAUUCUAGAGCUAAUACAUGCAAAAAAUUCAGACUUUUCUCUGUAAAAGGGGGAAGGAAUGAAUGUAUUUAUUGGGUUAAAAAAAAUCAGUUUUUUAGUUGGGGUAACUUGACUAAAAAAAACUUCAAAAAUUUGGUGAAUCACAGUAAAUUUACGAAUCGAAUCCUUUUUUUUUAAAAGGGGAUUUGAUGAUACAAAUGAGUUUCUGACCUAUCAACUUUCGAUGGUAGUGUAUUGGACUACCAUGGUUAUGACGGGUAACGGAGAAUUUGGGUUUGAUUCCGGAGAAAAAGCCUGAGAGACGGCUAUUACUUCCAAGGAAGGCAGCAGGCGCGUAAAUUACCCAAUCCUAAUUCGGGGAGGUAGUGACAAGAAAUACUGAUAUUGAUCCCAACGGGAACAAUGAUUGGAAUGAGAACAAUUUAAAAAACUUAACGACUAACAAUUGGAGGGCAAGUCUGGUGCCAGCAGCCGCGGUAAUUCCAGCUCCAAUAGUGUAUAUUAAAGUUGUUGCGGUUAAAAAGCUCGUAGUUGGACUUAAGGGAUUUAUAUAAAAGGAUCUUACUUUUAAAGCUAAGUAUCUUUAUAUGUUUUUUCCUUUCUUUUUAUUUUUUUUUAAAGAUUUGAGAAUAUGGGGUUAAAUCCGGAAGCUCUUUUCUUGUAAAAAUAGAUAGUUUACUUUGAAAAAAUUAGAGUGUUUAAAGCAGACAUGACAUGUACAAUUGAAUAUUACAGCAUGGGAUAAUAGAAUAGGACAUUAACCUUAAUUUUGUUGGUUUUGAAGGUUAAUAGUAAUGAUUAAAAGGGAUAGUUGGGGUCACUUGUAUUUGAUCGCUAGGGGUGAAAUCCUAUGAUUGAUCAAAGACAAACUACUGCGAAAGCAUUUGACAAGGAUGUUUUCAUUGAUCAAGAACGAAAGUUAGGGGAUCGAAGAUGAUUAGAUACCGUCGUAGUCUUAACCAUAAACAAUGUCGACUUUGGAUUAGGAAAUAUUACAUGGAUGAUUUUCCUAGCACAAUAUGAGAAAUCAUAAGUAUUCAGACUC